CCCCAGCUAUUCCCAUGAAGUGCUUUGAGAAGAGCCACAUCCCGACUCACUCGCGAGGACUGCCAAUAUUUGCCAACGUUUCUACCACACCCAGGGCUUCUCGACCACCGUAAUAACUCAGCCAAGAAAAGGCGAGCCAACUUGAGCAAGGGGAGCUUCUCUGUGACAAGAGCGAAGGCCACGAUGGGAACCAUUAGCUCCACGGAUCGUCAAAAGGCCCAGGAUUCGACCGGGGCUGCUGCCGAAUAUUGCCUUAAUGCUGCCUCAACAGUUUCAACUGUUGCGGGACCACUAGGCAUACCGGUAGCGAUUGGAAUGUUAGUGGCCGGCGCUGGAGCAGCUGUUGCCAAGGUUGCAGUUUCAGCUUUGCCAGGUGAUGAGGAGGAGUAGCAGGAAUGCGUCCAACCGAAUCCUGUGAUUGGCACGGCAAGGGCACCUCCAGAAGACAAUCUGCGGGUUCUUUUUCUUAAAAGCAGCAUGUACUGUACCGAGGCCAGUAGCGCUAAUCAACUGCGCUGGCGGUAACUUUUAGCCAAGAAUUGAAAUUGGUUAUCUUAUGAAAUAAAACACGUUUCAGCAAUGUA
This is a long non-coding RNA of Rhipicephalus microplus (southern cattle tick), 584 nucleotides long. RefSeq lists it as uncharacterized. The record is from RefSeq and is a predicted model, not a curated record. NCBI's taxonomy places the organism in Eukaryota, Metazoa, Arthropoda, Arachnida, Ixodida, Ixodidae.